This is a long non-coding RNA of Salvia splendens (bonfire salvia), 1737 nucleotides long. RefSeq lists it as uncharacterized. The record is from RefSeq and is a predicted model, not a curated record. Lineage: Eukaryota; Viridiplantae; Streptophyta; Magnoliopsida; Lamiales; Lamiaceae. The transcript has 2 exons.
AUUAAUUUGACACGAAAAUAACUUGGCACGGCAACCCAACUCAAAACAAUUAAUCCAACCCUUCCUUUACUACUUCUCGAGCCCAGUUCCCAUUUAAUUAAAAUAUUAGCCCAACAUUUUAGUUAGGGAGGUCCAGAUCAAAACUAAGUGGCCCAAAUAGAAAACAAAACUCUAGCACUCCCUUCCCUUAACCCAUCGGAAACUUCCCCUCAAAAACACAAUUUCUCCGAAUUCAAUCUGGAGGCGCCGGUAUAUCCCCCGUCGCCCUCGCUUCCCUCCGUCACCGGUCAGAAAAUCGCCGGCUCCCUCACAUCUCUGAGGACUCUCUCUCUCUCUCAUUUCCCUUCCUUCUCCAGAUUCGGAAACCUCUCCCGUUGGACACAACAGCGCCUCCUACUCUUCUUCGCUCGAUUCGCCGCUGUCAUCCCCUCUCCGGCGUUCGCAAAACAGCUGCCGGGAUCCAGCAGGGCCCUCCGUCGCGCUCUCGUUCGGCGAGGUUCACGCCGCCGCCACCUCUGCUUUUGGCUACAUCCGCGAUCUCGCAGAUCUUCCUCAGCGACGAGCCGCCCCCUUUUUUCCCGGCGUUUCUCAGACACGAGCUAAGUUCUUUAUCUUGGUGAAUUAAGUUCGAUUUGGAGGGAUUUUGCCCUAAGUCCGAACUCUUGUUUACGACAAAACUUAGGCAGUAGCUUGUGAGAUUUUAGGUUCUUGAAUUUGUUUUCCGCGUUGGAGUUCCGCAUAGUUGCUACUGAUUUGGCCUAAGAGGCAGAUUAUGAUUUUCCCUGUACCAAUUUGCUAUGAUGUGAUUUACUGAUCCUAUAUGGGGUUAGCAUGCUAUUUGAGAUUCCUAAAUUAUCGUGCUUCUUCCUGAUGACAUUUCAAUUUGGGUGGGGGUGGAGGUGUAUUACCUCUUGAAACAACUGCUGAUCUCUUCCUCUGAUCCUAAGACUCGCAGCCAGUUCACUUGUGUCUCUGGCCCUUUUGUUAAGUUAGGGAAAGAGUGAGUUUGGGUUGAGCAUAACAAAGUCUUGAGGAAAGGAAGGAAGAUGUGUUACCUAAGGAGGAAAGAAACUAUCUGCAGGGAAAUCUGCAGAAACUCUUCUCCCAAAUACUCACUUUCAAACUCGCUAUUAGGUUGAAGAUUUUGAAUAAGGGGGAGGGUCUUGGAGGUGGUGUGGGGGUUCUUAUAGGAGAACUUUUAAAUGGCUGUUAGUAUAGCUUUGUCUCCACUUGAAGCAUAUCUCUUUAGUUGAUUCAUUUGUAGGACUAAGUUUUGGUGUUUCUUGUAGUACUAUGCACUUUUCCAUUUAUUUCCUCUUGUUCCUACAUGACUACCUAAUACAUCACCUUACAAGUCAUUUAAUUACUCUUGUUUGAUUUGCACAGCUCUCGGUUGGCUAGGAGAGAGUGUAGGAGUUUACUUGCCAUCUUAGGCAAGACUUGUGCGUACUUUUUGAAAGGUUUGGACACUGAUCCGGCUGCCUCGCUGCUGACCGCGACGUGGGCUCGCUGCCCUAGGCCAACAGGCUGAUCGGGUAGGGCCGCGGCAGUUGCAAUUUGGGCUCGGGAGAAGAAGGCCCAAAGUUUAGCAAAACUUUUAGUUUCUUAGCCUUUUGGCCCAUCCAUGAAUAAUUGUAAUAGAGUAGUGUCCCAUAUCCCCUUCAUCAUUUUGUGCGAAACGAUCAUGUACUUUAAGUAUUAUUCGAUAUGUAUACGCAAACACUUUCAUUCGGGAAA